Molecule: transfer RNA, 71 nt
Filed under: Cordylochernes scorpioides
Lineage: Eukaryota; Metazoa; Arthropoda; Arachnida; Pseudoscorpiones; Chernetidae
Description: tRNA-Gly
Source: RNAcentral
UGCAUCGGCCGGGAUCCGAACCCGGGCCGCCCGCGUGGCAGGCGAGCAUUCUACCACUAAGCCACCGAUGC